CCUGCUGCGUCUGCAGGUGUCCCAGGUACGUCACACGCUGCUGGCAGCCUCCCAGCAGCAGCAGCUGUGACGAUGCUUUUGGUGUUGGCUGCCUCUGCACAAGGAGGCUAAAAGGGCUGCCCAUCCGCCAAGAAGAAGCUGGAAUCUCUCUCUCUGGUCCUUCCACAAGUUGCCUGGUGCCACUGCUGUGAUCACUGCCUGGACUCCUUAACCUCAGUGCAGGUCCAGGUGCGGAAGCAAGGCCCCCUCUUCCUUUCGCAGACCGAUCUGGAUUCUGCAAAGAUCCAUCCCCGGUUUCUAGUUUGUCUUUUUAUUUAGAAACCACUGACAACUACAGCGAGGGACAACAGACCGAGAUGAGGGACAACUAAAGUGUGAAGGAUUGCUGUGGAAACCGCCCAACAUCCAAUAUCUGGUGUCUGCAACCUGUCCCCACCUACCCACGAGUUGUUCGGGACGGAAGUCAUCUCCAAAGGUCCAGGAAGACGACACAUCAGCUGAAUGUGACAUUUAAAAGAUAAUCACAGAAACUCUUGAAGACAACUGGGACCAAGUCUUACAAAAAAGCUGUGGAGAUUAGAGGCGAAAGACUGAGGCAAAGUGAUCGAAGGUUUUAGUCUGGGUUCGAAUCCCUCCCUCCCUCCUUCUCCAGUGGUGAAAUCAGUUCCCAGAUGCUUGGUUGUCAUUGUGUGAUAGUUCAGGCUAACGCUCUGUUGAACCCUUCAGUGCUGUUGUUAGUAGGAGGAGGCUUGCAGUGCUCCUCCUCCUCCUCUUCCUCCUCCUCCUCCACUCCGGAAUAAAUAAACAACUGAACACUCUCUCAUUGUGGUGGCCAUUUUUGAACCCAAGCUGUACAAUGCGCCUCUGGAGUGCCUGACAAUAGUGGAAAAAAAACCUGUGUGAUCUGUGUCGGGGAAAAACACUAGUCAGUCCAUUGAUCAGAGACUUUCCAAAAUCCUUCCUUGUCGUGGCGAGCGCUGGGGUGUGUUGUUGAAUUGACUCUCUAGUUCUGAGGACGGUCACUCAGGUUCUGUUAGGGAGGAGUGCGGACAGACGCAUCAAAAACCUAGAACUUUCAACCUGCAGUUGGAUUGUGAAAAGCUCAUCAUAAAGCUACCGCAGGAGGUCUGGAGAUCAGAUACAGAAGAAGAAUCUUUACAAGCACACAAUGAGAUUGGAAGUUCCACCACUGACUGACUGACUGACUGACUGAAUGUGAGGAGAAAUGCCAAAGUGAUGGGAGUGAAAUGUCGUCAUCAUCAGCUACCGCCUCUCUUCCUCCUCCUUCUUGUUUGUCCGGGUGUGACAAUGCUCCGAGCUGAAAUGGCAGGUGGACACUUUUGUGCCGUUCCAAUUAUUUCCUUCCAAGUGUUUAUUAUACAGAUUUAAUCUAUUUUAUGCCAUGCUUUGUGUGACAUGUGGUUUAGAUGAUUUACAUACUACACAUUCCUCGUCAUUUUGGAACGUGACUAGUGUUCCGGCUGAGCGGAAAUAAUGUCGUUAUGAAGUGUUGUAGCAAUGCAGUGUCUCGGUCCUUUUGUGACUUAUGACGACGAGGAUUUUCACUUAGGACAAGGGAAAUCAAAGGGUUAUCUUUAAUAUAUAGGCAGAACAUAGUACAUACUUACACCUGUAUUGAUUAUACAUGAUAUUGGUUAUGUAUGGAUGUGUGAAUGAAUGAGGUACUUCCUGCAAACAUCAUAAGGUUGCAAUUAUCAAAACUGCAGCUUUUGUGAUGGUCCACAGACACCACCCUUCUUACGAACGAGUUACUACGUUGAACUGCUCGUUAAGUAGAUCAUACUGCAUUUUUCUUCAUGCCUAUUCAAGUACAGUACGACAGAGUCAAUACAGUUCUGUAUGUUUCUUUCAUCCCAAACCACAAUAGUACACUGUAAGAACAGCAAGUUAUGUACAGAACAGAAUUUGAACUCCAGGGUCAAAGGGGAGCGCUCUGACAAUAGUCUUCAUUCUAAUCACGUUCGUUUGGAUCUGAAAGUUCGAUCGGAAGUAGAGAAUGUUCGUAAAUAGGGUGUUGUCUGUGUGUAGUAUACAUUUCAUUUCUUCUGUAAGAAGACCACCAGUACAUUCUAGUGAUUUAUAGAGAACUUGACAUUGUUAAGCUCAAGGUUGGUACAAGAACUGGUUGCAGGCAUUAACGCUGGAUUUCGAGUAAAAAAAAAAAUAAGACACCAAACCAAAGUGCAACAAUUUUAUUCGUCUCUUCUUUUACGAGCCCAGGUGAGGGAACUAUGAUGACAACAAGACUAUGGUGAACUUUCUUAGAGGCAAACUUAAUGACUGCAGCUGGUUUUUGAAAUCCAACUGUGAAAGCAAGAUAAGAACGCUUGUAACUGACGAAUGUAUGGAGGGAAUGAUUUAUAAGUUGGCUUUGGAUUGUAUUAUUAUUAUUAUUAUUAUUAUUAUUAUUAUUAUUAUUAUUAUUAUUAUUAUUAUUAUUAUUAUU
Long non-coding RNA from Macrobrachium nipponense, 2467 nucleotides. RefSeq lists it as uncharacterized. Lineage: Eukaryota; Metazoa; Arthropoda; Malacostraca; Decapoda; Palaemonidae. The transcript has 3 exons. The record is from RefSeq and is a predicted model, not a curated record.